AGCACUUAUUGCCUCACAUCACCUCGCUAGGGCUGGGGUGGUGCUGCCCUUCCAGCCACCCAGCUGCCUUGGGCCAUUAAACCCUCAUGGAAGCAGAGAUGAAGGAUGGUGUCUGGCUACUUGCAGCACUCAGGCCCCGAGGAGUACUUCUGCGUGCAGCUUCUGGCGUGUUCUUCAUUGCGGCCCAUGACGAGUUCUUCAUCGUUCAGCUUCUUGGGAUCCACGUUUCUACUUUAGGAGAGCUUCAUCGUCCAGCUUUUGGUGUUUCUCCACUGCAGCCUCUGAGGAGUGCCUUCUUGAGCAGCUUUUGGUGUUUUCUUUACUACGUCACUGAGGAGCUCUUCAUCGUGCAGCUUUUGGGGGUUUUCCCCACACCACGUUUCCCCUGAGGAGGGCUUCACUAUUCAGCUCGUCGUGUUUUCUUCACUGUGGCGCUUGAGGAGAAAUGCUUCGUGGAGCUUUUUGGGGUUUCUUCUCCCUGUGGCCCCUGAAGUGUGCUUCCGCGUGCAGCUUUUGGUGUGUUCUUCACUACAGUCCUGAGGAGUUCUUCAUCGUGCAGCUUUUCUGGUUCUCUUCACUUCGGCCAUUGAGGAUUGCUUCGUCGAGCAGCAUUUGGUAUUUUCUUCAUUGCAGCCCUGGAGGAGUUCUGCACCAGCCAGCCUUUGGGGUUCUUCACCAUGUUUUCCCUGAGGAGAGCUUCAUCAUGCCAAUGCUGGUGUUGUUUUCACCUUCCAGUCCCUGAGAGGUGCUUCAUCUUCUAACAUUUGGUGGGGUUUCUUUCUCAUUCAAGAUCCCGAGGUGUCCUUCUGCAUGCAGCUUCUGGUGUAUUCUUCAUUGUCGUCCACGAGGAGUUCUUCAUAGUUCAGCUUUUCAGGAUCUCUUCACCAUGUUUCCUCUUAGGAGAGCUUCAUUGUCCAGCUUUUGGCGUUUCUCCACUGCAGCCUCUGAGGAGUGCCUUCUUGAGCAGCUUUUGAUGUUUUCUUCACUACGUCGCUGAGGAGCUCUUCAUCGUGCAGCUUUUGGUGUUUUCUACAAUGAGGCGCUUUUUGGCAUCUACCGUGUCUGCAGCCAGACCGACAGCUCCGUGCCUGAUGUGUGAAGAAGCACAUUCUUCUGUUUGUUUUCAAUCUGCCAACCGAUCAUUUCACGUAGAGCUGUCUUUUUUGUACUAGGAGGUGCCAUGUUGUGUCAUGCUGUUAUAAAUCUCUUUCAAACCA
Molecule: non-coding RNA, 1217 nt
Organism: Anas platyrhynchos (mallard)
Lineage: Eukaryota; Metazoa; Chordata; Aves; Anseriformes; Anatidae
Source: RefSeq, a predicted model, not a curated record